This 72-nucleotide transfer RNA is filed under the name Candidatus Schekmanbacteria bacterium GWA2_38_9. RNAcentral's name for it is "tRNA-Val". It matches the Rfam family "tRNA". From Rfam's summary of the family: Transfer RNA (tRNA) molecules are approximately 80 nucleotides in length. Their secondary structure includes four short double-helical elements and three loops (D, anti-codon, and T loops). Further hydrogen bonds mediate the characteristic L-shaped molecular structure. tRNAs have two regions of fundamental functional importance: the anti-codon, which is responsible for specific mRNA codon recognition, and the 3' end, to which the tRNAs corresponding amino acid is attached (by aminoacyl-tRNA synthetases). tRNAs cope with the degeneracy of the genetic code in two manners: having more than one tRNA (with a specific anti-codon) for a particular amino acid; and 'wobble' base-pairing, i.e. permitting non-standard base-pairing at the 3rd anti-codon position. RNAcentral also lists the same sequence under 3 other names. The record is from RNAcentral. Lineage: Bacteria; Candidatus Schekmaniibacteriota.
AGGCACGUAGCUCAGCGGUAGAGUGCUGCCUUGACACGGCAGAGGCCAGGGGUUCGACACCCCUCGUGCCUA